This 333-nucleotide unclassified non-coding RNA is filed under the name soil metagenome. RNAcentral's name for it is "partial contains 5.8S ribosomal RNA, internal transcribed spacer 2, and large subunit ribosomal RNA". The stretch from base 1 to 120 matches the Rfam family "5.8S ribosomal RNA", at positions 35 to 154 of the family's 154-position model. The record is from RNAcentral.
GAUGAAGAACGUAGCGAAAUGCGAUAAGUAAUGUGAAUUGCAGAAUUCAGUGAAUCAUCGAAUCUUUGAACGCACAUUGCGCCCGCCAGUAUUCUGGCGGGCAUGCCUGUUCGAGCGUCAUUUCAACCAUCAAGCCCCCGGCUUGUGUUGGGGACCUGCGGCUGCCGCAGGCCCUGAAAACCAGUGGCGGGCUCGCUAGUCACUCCGAGCGUAGUAAUACAUCUCGCUCAGGGCGUGCUGCGGGUUCCGGCCGUUAAAAAGCCUUAUUUACCCAAGGUUGACCUCGGAUCAGGUAGGAAGACCCGCUGAACUUAAGCAUAUCAAUAAGGAGGA